GAUGAACGCUGGCGGCGUGCCUAAUACAUGCAAGUCGAGCGAACAGACGAGGAGCUUGCUCCUCUGACGUUAGCGGCGGACGGGUGAGUAACACGUGGAUAACCUACCUAUAAGACUGGGAUAACUUCGGGAAACCGGAGCUAAUACCGGAUAAUAUAUUGACCGCCUGGUUCAAUAGUGAAAGACGGUUUUGCUGUCACUUAUAGAUGGAUCCGCGCCGCAUUAGCUAGUUGGUAAGGUAACGGCUUACCAAGGCAACGAUGCGUAGCCGACCUGAGAGGGUGAUCGGCCACACUGGAACUGAGACACGGUCCAGACUCCUACGGGAGGCAGCAGUAGGGAAUCUUCCGCAAUGGGCGAAAGCCUGACGGAGCAACGCCGCGUGAGUGAUGAAGGUCUUCGGAUCGUAAAACUCUGUUAUUAGGGAAGAACAAAUGUGUAAGUAACUAUGCACGUCUUGACGGUACCUAAUCAGAAAGCCACGGCUAACUACGUG
Molecule: ribosomal RNA, 496 nt
Filed under: uncultured bacterium
Lineage: Bacteria
Description: partial 16S ribosomal RNA
Rfam family: Bacterial small subunit ribosomal RNA
Source: RNAcentral